This 72-nucleotide transfer RNA is filed under the name Phrynosoma platyrhinos (Desert horned lizard). RNAcentral's name for it is "tRNA-OTHER". The record is from RNAcentral. Lineage: Eukaryota; Metazoa; Chordata; Lepidosauria; Squamata; Phrynosomatidae.
GCCAGCAUAAUGUAGUGGUUAGAGUGCUGGACUAUGACUCUAGAGACCAGGGUUCAAAUUCCCACUCUGCCA